UUGCUUUGAUAGCACAUAUAUCCAAAUUGGAACAAUACAGAGAAGAUUGCCAUGGUCCCUGUGCAAGGAUGACAUGCAAAUUUGUGAAGUGUUCCAUAUUUUA
Cricetulus griseus (Chinese hamster) is the source of this 103-nucleotide small nuclear RNA. The record is from Ensembl. NCBI's taxonomy places the organism in Eukaryota, Metazoa, Chordata, Mammalia, Rodentia, Cricetidae.